AUGUUGUAUCACGGCCAGGGUCUGUAUCGUACCCAAUGGAAGUAUUAAUUCCAAUGCAUCUGUCCAUAGACGGAAACUUCGAAAGCGACGGAUUAUUUCAGAAUUAUACACCAAAUACAGUUCAGGUACACGUUUCUACCGACUAUUCAAAACUCCAAAACAAGAUUUGUUACUCACACAACGAUCCACACAUGAAAACGUUUGAUGGCCUGAUGGAUUUUGUACCAUAGACGCAAUAUGCUACAAUGAAAACGACGAGUAUGGAUGUAUGCGAUGCGAAAGGAUGGG
Molecule: long non-coding RNA, 288 nt
Organism: Mya arenaria
Lineage: Eukaryota; Metazoa; Mollusca; Bivalvia; Myida; Myidae
Exons: 3
Source: RefSeq, a predicted model, not a curated record